Molecule: ribosomal RNA, 293 nt
Filed under: uncultured eukaryote
Lineage: Eukaryota
Description: partial 18S ribosomal RNA
Rfam family: Eukaryotic small subunit ribosomal RNA
Source: RNAcentral
GGUUGAUCCUGCCAGUAGUCAUAUGCUUGUGUUAAAGAUUAAGCCAUGCAUGUCUAAGUAUAAACUUAUAUAUGGUGAAACUGCGGACGGCUCCAUAGAUCAGUUAUUGUUCGUUAGGUAAUAAAAAUUACUUGGAUAACCCUGCUAAUUGUAGAGCUAAUACAUGAAAAAACGAUUUAAUUUAGGUAACUAAAGAGAAUCGCACUUGUCUUACAAAUACAAAAAAGUCUUAAGGAAUUUAAUUAUACUCAAUGUGAUAGGGGAUGACCUUGAAUGGAAUAUAUAGCAGAUAA